GUGUCAGCAGCCGCGGUAAAACGUAGGUACCGAGCGUUAUCCGGAUUUACUGGGCGUAAAGCGCGUUCAGGCGGCUCAGCAAGUCGGGCAUGAAAUCUCUCGGCUCAACCGGGAGGGGCUGUCCGAAACUGCUGGGCUUGAGGGCAGUAGAGGGUGGUGGAAUUCCGGGUGUAGUGGUGAAAUGCGUAGAUAUCCGGAGGAACACCAGUGGCGAAAGCGGCCACCUGGACUGUACCUGACGCUCAAACGCGAAAGCUAGGGGAGCGAACGGGAUUAGAAACCCCCGUAGUCC
RNAcentral lists this ribosomal RNA (292 nucleotides) under uncultured bacterium. RNAcentral's name for it is "partial 16S ribosomal RNA". It matches the Rfam family "Bacterial small subunit ribosomal RNA", at positions 505 to 796 of the family's 1533-position model. The record is from RNAcentral.